Molecule: ribosomal RNA, 521 nt
Filed under: uncultured Pseudomonadota bacterium
Lineage: Bacteria; Pseudomonadati; Pseudomonadota
Description: bacterial SSU rRNA
Rfam family: Bacterial small subunit ribosomal RNA
Source: RNAcentral
AGAGUUUGAUCAUGGCUCAGAUUGAACGCUGGCGGCAUGCCUUACACAUGCAAGUCGAACGGCAGCACGGGGGCAACCCUGGUGGCGAGUGGCGAACGGGUGAGUAAUACAUCGGAACGUGUCCUGUUGUGGGGGAUAACCCAUCGAAAGGUGAGCUAAUACCGCAUGAUCUGGAGACAGCAAAGCAGGGGACUCGCAAGGGCCUUGCGCGAUUGGAGCGGCCGAUGUCCGAUUAGCUAGUUGGUGGGGUAAAGGCCCACCAAGGCGACGAUCGGUAGCUGGUCUGAGAGGAUGAUCAGCCACACUGGGACUGAGACACGGCCCAGACUCCUACGGGAGGCAGCAGUGGGGAAUUUUGGACAAUGGGGGCAACCCUGAUCCAGCCAUGCCGCGUGAGUGAAGAAGGCCUUCGGGUUGUAAAGCUCUUUCGGUGGGAACGAAACGGUUACGACCAAUACUCGUGACUACUGACGGUACUCACAGAAGAAGCACCGGCUAGCUACGUGCCAGCAGCCGCGGUA